CGGAAGUGUGGCCGAGCGGUUGAAGGCACCGGUCUUGAAAACCGGCGACCCGAAAGGGUUCCAGAGUUCGAAUCUCUGCGCUUCCGCCAU
Molecule: transfer RNA, 90 nt
Filed under: Klebsiella variicola
Lineage: Bacteria; Pseudomonadati; Pseudomonadota; Gammaproteobacteria; Enterobacterales; Enterobacteriaceae
Also listed under: 2 other names
Description: tRNA-Ser
Rfam family: tRNA
About the family: Transfer RNA (tRNA) molecules are approximately 80 nucleotides in length. Their secondary structure includes four short double-helical elements and three loops (D, anti-codon, and T loops).
Source: RNAcentral